GAUGAACGCUGGCGGCGUGCCUAAUACAUGCAAGUCGAGCGAACAGACGAGGAGCUUGCUCCUCUGACGUUAGCGGCGGACGGGUGAGUAACACGUGGAUAACCUACCUAUAAGACUGGGAUAACUUCGGGAAACCGGAGCUAAUACCGGAUAAUAUAUUGAACCGCAUGGUUCAAUAGUGAAAAACGGUUUUGCUGUCACUUAUAGAUGGAUCCGCGCCGCAUUAGCUAGUUGGUAAGGUAACGGCUUACCAAGGCAACGAUGCGUAGCCGACCUGAGAGGGUGAUCGGCCACACUGGGACUGAGACACGGUCCAGACUCCUACGGGAGGCAGCAGUAGGGAAUCUUCCGCAAUGGGCGAAAGCUUGACGGAGCAACGCCGCGUGAGUGAUGAAGGUCUUCGGAUCGUAAAACUCUGUUAUUAGGGAAGAACAAAUGUGUAAGUAACUAUGCACGUCUUGACGGUACCUAAUCAGAAAGCCACGGCUAACUACGUG
Molecule: ribosomal RNA, 497 nt
Filed under: uncultured bacterium
Lineage: Bacteria
Description: partial 16S ribosomal RNA
Rfam family: Bacterial small subunit ribosomal RNA
Source: RNAcentral